RNAcentral lists this transfer RNA (82 nucleotides) under Simiduia agarivorans SA1 = DSM 21679. It matches the Rfam family "tRNA". From Rfam's summary of the family: Transfer RNA (tRNA) molecules are approximately 80 nucleotides in length. Their secondary structure includes four short double-helical elements and three loops (D, anti-codon, and T loops). RNAcentral also lists the same sequence under 1 other name. Lineage: Bacteria; Pseudomonadati; Pseudomonadota; Gammaproteobacteria; Cellvibrionales; Cellvibrionaceae. The record is from Rfam by way of RNAcentral.
GCGAAAGUGGUGAAAUUGGUAGACACGCUGGAUUUAGGUUCCAGUGCCGCAAGGCGUGAGAGUUCGAGUCUCUCCUUUCGCA